This is a long non-coding RNA of Daucus carota subsp. sativus, 566 nucleotides long. RefSeq lists it as uncharacterized. The transcript has 5 exons. Lineage: Eukaryota; Viridiplantae; Streptophyta; Magnoliopsida; Apiales; Apiaceae. The record is from RefSeq and is a predicted model, not a curated record.
ACACGAAUACAAACUCCACGACUAUUAGAAUAGAGGGCCACCUGAGAUUUGCCUAUGCUAUGACACCACGAAUUCUAGCUUGAGCCAUCCUCACGGCGAGUCUAAUUAGGAGUAUAUAAUAAAGGAGUAUCGCUGCAAAGGCAAGAAAAAUACUGUAAGGCCGUUCAAUAAUAUUCUGUGGUUCUAACAGUUUCAGAAUGAGAAAAGAAAAUUCUGUAAAAUAGGGGUACGCCAUCCAGCUUGGUAUCAUAAUGACUCAAGUACAAGACCGAGAAAUUUGUUGAAUUCUUUCAACAAAGUUGGUGAUAACAAUGUUUCAGGAAGCCAGUUUAGACCAGCUCAUGCAGGUGAUAGUCAUAGCAGCAGCUUCGCAUCGAUGUCAGGAACUAAGGCCGGUCUGAGGAAAACCACCUUUCCAGAUGCAGGAGACAUGGACAAUGUUGCGGAUGACGAUACUAACACUGACUGAGGAAGAAGAAGGUUUGCAAGCUUUUAAUCCCCUGCAAUUCCGUGUUCCUUGCAUGUGUCUUGGAUUUUUGAAAGAAGUAUAUCACCUUCGAAAUUUC